Oncorhynchus tshawytscha (Chinook salmon) is the source of this 1739-nucleotide long non-coding RNA. The record is from Ensembl. Lineage: Eukaryota; Metazoa; Chordata; Actinopteri; Salmoniformes; Salmonidae.
UUAACACGACCUGUUUACUGAGGGGAUUAACACAACCUGUUUACUGAGGGAUUAACAACCUGUUUACUGAGGGAUUAACACAACCUGGUUACUGAGGGAUUAACACUGAGGGUAACAACUUCAGGAUUCAGAAAAAUAAAACACAAAUGCCGUUGUUCUGUUUGUCGUUUAAUCAUUGUUUAUCAAAGAUUCUAUAAAAAUGAAACAAUGAAAAAGUCAAGAAGCAUGUUUGUUAUCUUUCUAAGUGGAGUUAAAAGUAAACAAUAUACAUUUGAGGCUACAUGUAAUACGACAAUACGAAACAACUGGUACAAAAAUCUCCUUCAUGAUCCAAUAUCUACAGUGAGUUGAGUAUCUUGAUCUGAUGGUGUGUGUGUGUGUGUGGGGGGUGUGUGUGUGUGGGUAUCCUGAUGAAGACCAAUCAUCAGCAAAGUGGGUGGAGGGUUUAUGGUUUUGAUACACAUAAAGUGACACUUUACAUCCAGGUAACCAGAUAGGCGGGUAACCAGACAGGCAGGUAACCAGACAGGCAGGUCAGACAGGUAGGUAACCAGACAGGCAGGUAACCAAACAGGUAGGUAACCAGACAGGCAGGUAACCAGACAGCCAGGUAACCAGACAGCCAGGUAACCAGACAGGCAGGUAACCAGACAUCCAGGUAACCAGACAGGUAGGUCACCAGACAGGCAGGUAACCAGACAGGCAGGUAACCAGACAGCCAGGUAACCAGACAGGCAGGUAACCAGACAGGCAGGUAACCAGACAGGCAGGUAACCAGACAGGCAGGUAACCAGACAGGCAGGUCACCAGACAGGCAGGUCACCAGACAGGUAGGUAACCAGACAGGUAGGUAACCAGACAGGCAGGUAACCAGACAGGCAGGUAACCAGACAGGCAGGUAACCCGUUAUUGCUGUAUAUCUACAACAAAACAUAUCAUAGACAAAUAUACUGAAUCGUGUCAAAAUAAAAUUACCAAUCAUAAUUUGGUUUACUUUUCGCUCAGCCAAAUCUAUCUUCUAAACAGCACCCUGUACCCCAUUCCCAAACAGCACCCUGUUCCUCAGUCCCAAACAGCACCCUGUUCCCCAUUCCCAAACAGCACCCUGUUCCCCAUUCCCAAACAGCACCCUGUUCCUCAGUCCCAAACAGCACCCUGUUCCCCAUUCCCAAACAGCACCCUGUUCCCCAUUCCCAAACAGCACCCUGUUCCUCAGUCCCAAACAGCACCCUGUUCCCCAUUCCCAAACAGCACCCUGUUCCCCAUUCCCAAACAGCACCCUGUUCCCCAUUCCCAAACAGCACCCUGUUCCUCAGUCCCAAACUGCACCCUGUACCCCAGUCCCAAACAGCACCCUGUUCCCCAGUCCCAAACAGCACCCUGUUCCUCAGUCCCAAACUGCACCCUGUACCCCAGUCCCAAACAGCACCCUGUUCCCCAGUCCCAAACAGCACCCUGUUCCCCAUUCCCAAACAGCACCCUGUUCCUCAGUCCCAAACUGCACCCUGUACCCCAUUCCCAAACAGCACCCUGUUCCUCAGUCCCAAACUGCACCCUGUACCCCAUUCCCAAACAGCACCCUGUUCCUCAGUCCCAAACUGCACCCUGUACCCCAGUCCCAAACAGCACCCUGUACCCCAGUCCCAAACAGCACCCUGUUCCCCAGUCCCAAACAGCACCCUGUUCCCCAGUCCCAAACAGCACCCUGUUCCCCAGUCCCAAACAGCACCCUGUUCCCC